GUGCUUUGCCAGAGAAGGGUCUAGGCAGAAGAUGAGGUUUUAAAAAGAUGUCAUUAGGAGAAGUCACUAGGAAGUUACUACUGAAGAAAGCAAAUGUCAGCUUCUGAAAGCUCGUGUGUUGACAGUUGCUGCUGCACAUGUGUGUCAGGAGAUGCGUCAGCUAAGUUCAGAUACACUGCCCUCCCAGCAAUGGAAGAAACAGCCAUUCAGGAGAUGCAGCCGGCCAUUCAUUUUUAUCAUCCUGAUGUACACCCUUGAAAACCAAUGGGAAGGUUGAAUGUGCAGUCUUUCAUUAUGUUUCUUACUAAGGAUAAGAAAACUGAAAUACAGAGAAGACAAAAACCCUGUCAAUAACUAGCAAGAAGACCCAGAGUUCAACCUCAAAUGUUUGGCUCUGAAAUUAAGACUUAAUCAGUACUCUGUAUUACCGAGAAGUGUUCUCCAAGAUGCCAGAAUGGACACAUGAUUAGGAGAGACAACUUCUAGGUGGAUGUUUAAGAAUAAUGUUCUAGAAGCAACUGAACCUCUGAAAAAGGAAGGAAGGAAGAGAUUAAAUUUAAAAAGAGAUAAUGCUACUAAAAUCUACCAACAUCAAUGCAUCUUCUCUGGGUCAGGAGUCACUUGGCUAAGUGUUUCUGGAUCGUGGUUUCUCAUAAGAUUGAAGCGAAAAUAUUGUAAGAUAUUAGCCAGGGAUGCAAGGCUGGACUUAAGGUGAUGAUCUGUUUCCAAGAUAGCUCAUUAACAUUGACUUUCCUCACCACGUGGGCCUCUCUCUAGGAUUGCUUUAGGGUUCUGACAGUGUGGCAGCUGGCUUUCCCUAGAAUGAAUAGUGAGAGAGAGAAGAGAAAGAGAGACAGAGAGACAGAGACUAAAACAGAAACAGAGAUGGAGAGAAGUGCCAUUUUCUGUGGUCACAGAGACCAACCCUGAAUCAGUGUGUCAGAAAAUACAGAGCGCAUGAAGACAUGAAGGCAGGGAUCAAUGUGGAGCACUUUUGAGGCUGCAAUGAAUGUAAAUGGAUUUUUGUUUUCCUCCAUGUGUCAUAUUGAACAACUCUUCACAAUCUAUAGAUAUAGAGGAUAUUUAAAAAUCUAAAUGACUUAGCUAUUAUUGAACAUAAAAUUAUAGACUCACCAGUAACUAGAACAAAAUUUUAGUCACAAUAGAUAUUCCGUAGAUAAGUUCUAAAAGUAAUAAUUUAUAUGAUUUAUUUUCAAGAUUUUACAUAGAGUAGGUGGUUAUUGAUACAUAAUAUGUAGCAAUGUUUAAUCUAUUAUCUCCUAAUGAUUUGUGAUCAAUGAUCAAUCAAUAUGAUUUUUCAGUUUGUUUAAAAUCCUUUAUUUAAACGUCAAAACAAUUUUAUCUUGUUCUAUAGACUCUAAACUCUAAAAAUGAUAUUUUAAUGAGACUAUAUAUCAUAAGGCAUGCUCAUAUCUACAUAUCCAUUUACCAAUUUCGUUGUCGUUGUUUCUUGCUAUUUGUCUCUCACUGUUGUGAUUUGUUUUCAAUUUAGUUCCUUUUAUAACAUGUAUAUAGCAUUUUGAGCCACAGCAAAAGUAUAAUGAGGUGUUACAUAAUUUCAUAUUUGCCUAAAGAUAUAUUUAUUUCACUCUAACUCUUGAAUAAUAUAGUAGUUGGCCAUAUAUUUAUGGUAUAAGCAAAGCCGAGGCACAAGCUUUUACUCAGCACUUACAUUCAGGGGUCCAGAUUUCUUUCAACUUUUAGCUUAUCCUCACAAGUCAACUGAAAAGUGGGGAUGUAAAAUAUGAACAGAUUUCAUAGGAUAUUUUUAUUUUUCGUGCCUAUCAAUACCACACACCACUUCCAUUCACAUCCCGUGGGUCAGAUCUAAGAUAAAUGGUUCGACUCUCAGUAAGAAAAGCUGGAAAAUAUCAGCAGGGUGUGGUGGCUUAUGCCUGUAAUCUUAUCACUUUAGGAGGCCAAGGUGGGCUGAUCACUAGGUCAGGAGGUCGAGACCAUCCUGGCUAAGAUGGUGAAACCCCAUCUCUAGUAAAAAUACAAAAAAAAUUUAAAAAAAUUAGCCGGGCAUGGUGGUGGGCCCCUCUAGUCCCGGCUACUUGGGAGACUGAGGCAGGAGAAUGGCGUGAACCCCGGAGGCAGAGCUUGCAGUGAGCCAAGAUUGCGCCACUGCACUCCAGCCUGGGUGACAGAGCGAGACUCCAUCUCAAAAAAAGAAAAAAAGAAAAAAGAAAAGCUGGAAAAUAUCAUUUAGUUUUGGCUCCAGAGGAAAGAAAACACCCAGAUAUUGUUGAACAACUGUAGUCACUUCCAUGCUUUUCAUUUUUCACACCUGAAAUUGUUGUUCUCAUCAUUGUACCUGUGUUAUUUAUUUGAAUACACUUAUUUAUCAUGUUUGUUUUAAGCAAAAUAGCUACAUUAGUUUGACUUUCAUGCAAAUAGAGCUAGCACUUGUAAAUUUUUAUACAAGUAAUUCAGUCAUUUAGAAAAUUUGUAUAAUAUAGAUAAGCAAAAAGAAAAAAUUUCACCUGAUUUACAAAUAAAAAUGCAUAGUUAACUGUUGGUCAGAAUACAUAGUAACUUGUUGGUAAUAAAAUUAAUGCUUCCACAUUUG
This 2593-nucleotide long non-coding RNA is filed under the name Homo sapiens (human). RNAcentral describes it as "HSALNT0070831". Lineage: Eukaryota; Metazoa; Chordata; Mammalia; Primates; Hominidae. The record is from RNAcentral.